Molecule: ribosomal RNA, 376 nt
Filed under: uncultured bacterium
Lineage: Bacteria
Description: bacterial SSU rRNA
Rfam family: Bacterial small subunit ribosomal RNA
Source: RNAcentral
UACAGAGGUGGCAAGCGUUGUUCGGAAUUACUGGGCGUAAAGGGCGCGUAGGCGGCCUUGUCAGUCAGACGUGAAAUCCCCAGGCUUAACCUGGGAACUGCGUCUGAUACUACAAGGCUGGAGUGCGGGAGAGGGAUGUGGAAUUCCAGGUGUAGCGGUGAAAUGCGUAGAUAUCUGGAGGAACACCGGUGGCGAAGGCUGCAUCCUGGACCGACACUGACGCUGAGGCGCGAAAGCUAGGGGAGCAAUCGGGAUUAGAUACCCCGGUAGUCCUAGCCCUAAACGAUGAGUGCUUGGUGUGGCGGGUAUCGAUCCCUGCCGUGCCGAAGCUAACGCAUUAAGCACUCCGCCUGGGGAGUACGGUCGCAAGGCUGAA